This 440-nucleotide ribosomal RNA is filed under the name uncultured bacterium. RNAcentral describes it as "bacterial SSU rRNA". It matches the Rfam family "Bacterial small subunit ribosomal RNA", at positions 338 to 796 of the family's 1533-position model. The record is from RNAcentral.
CCUACGGGAUGCACCAGUGGGGAAUAUUGGACAAUGGGCAAAAGCCUGAUCCAGCAAUGCCGCGUGUGUGAAGAAGGUCUUCGGAUUGUAAAGCACUUUCGACGGGGACGAUGAUGACGGUACCCGUAGAAGAAGCCCCGGCUAACUUCGUGCCAGCAGCCGCGGUAAUACGAAGGGGGCUAGCGUUGCUCGGAAUGACUGGGCGUAAAGGGCGCGUAGGCGGUUUAUGCAGUCAGAUGUGAAAUCCCCGGGCUUAACCUGGGAACUGCAUUUGAGACGCAUAGACUAGAGGUCGAGAGAGGGUUGUGGAAUUCCCAGUGUAGAGGUGAAAUUCGUAGAUAUUGGAAGAACACCGGUGGCGAAGGCGGCAACCUGGCUCGAUACUGACGCUGAGGCGCGAGAGCGUGGGGAGCAAACAGGAUUAGAUACCCCAGUAGUCA